This is an RNA transcript of Sorghum bicolor (sorghum), 2552 nucleotides long. It is a transcript of the gene named OTU domain-containing protein At3g57810, with no coding region annotated. Lineage: Eukaryota; Viridiplantae; Streptophyta; Magnoliopsida; Poales; Poaceae. The record is from RefSeq and is a predicted model, not a curated record. The transcript is spliced from 8 exons.
GAGGUUUUGCGCAAUGUUCGUCGAUAGCAAUUCUACUGUAAUGUGUCUUGUUCAUUAGCUUGUCGCGUUUGUGAAGCGAUGGAUUCGCGCUGCGGAUUCGAUGCCAUCGAAGCGGUUCAGCCUGCGCGCGUCCCCCUGUGUAAAGGGUUUACCCCGAGAAUGUGAUGUUAUCUGAAUGACUGAAUGCUGACACUUCUUUCGGCAAUCUGUAGCUUCCCUUGCUCCCCAUGUUUAUUCUCAAAAUUGCGUCAGUUAACUACCCCAGGCUGAGGGCAAGUAAAGAAUAACACUACACAGAUGUUGCAUUGUUUAGUAGGCAACCGUCAUAUAAGAAGGUAACUAGUAACAAUUCUCUAGCGAAUCAUGUAGUCCAUGUCCACACAACCUUGCUGCUGCCGUCGUCUUGGUAACACCGAUAUCCUGCGGUCUUGCAAAUAAGUUCACAAUUCAAGACGCUAUAUUAUUAUAUAUAUUGCUGUUGCCAACGGUCUGCGUGUGUGCUGCUGCUUGAACAGUUUGUGGUCAGAUGGACUAGCUGAUACUACUUGAGCUCAAUGCGGCUCUACUCACCUGCGCUCUGUCUGCGGCGAUCAAGCACGCAUUCCCAUCCUAACCAGUUACGAGGAGGAUUCACGCAGAGUAUGGCCUCAUGGAAGUGCCCGCACUCACAGUCAAGCCUGUACCAUCCGAAGUCGGGUUUAGUUGAUUUUUCCCUUAGCAAGAAUGUAAAGUCUUCUCAGUCACAAAGUAUAAAGUACUUUGUCAGCUUAAUGGGCCAGCAGUUCCGUUGUGGACUAUCAACCAGAGAGGGUAGCCUAAGUGUGAAGCUUGACAUUCCUUCACAUGAAAAAUCGAGGAUAGGCUGGAACUGGAAAAACAUGCACCACAAGAUAGGGGGUGCAGCCGGUGGUCUUUGCUUUGGUUUUUCGGUUACUGGAUUAGCAUGUGCUGAGGUUCCAGUCAUUAGAAUCAAAGACAAUGCUGAAACCUCAUCAUCAUCUACCAGUUCAACUCAUGGGAAGAAAGUCUACACAGAUUAUUCUGUCACUGGUAUUCCUGGAGAUGGAAGAUGUUUGUUCCGCUCCGUGGUACAUGGUGCGUGCAUUAGGUCAGGGAGACCCAUACCUAAUGAAGAUCUUCAGAGAAAACUAGCUGAUGAACUGAGAGCAAUGGUCGCCGAUGAAUUUGUCAAGAGGCGGGAAGAGACUGAAUGGUUUGUUGAGGGAGAUUUUGAUACAUAUGUAUCCCAUAUCAGGGAGCCACAUGUGUGGGGAGGCGAGCCAGAAUUGUUCAUGGCGUCCCAUGUUCUUCAGAUGCCAAUAACGGUUUACAUGCGCGAUGAGGAUGCUGGUGGUCUGAUAGCAAUUGCAGAAUAUGGCCAGCAGUAUGGUAAAGAAGACCCAAUCCAAGUCUUGUAUCAUGGUUUUGGCCAUUACGAUGCUCUACAGAUUCCAGCAAAGAAUAUGCGUGUGAAUGUGGAAAAUAACUUUGAUGAAAACAUGAAAUGGCAUUAACUCACCAUGCCUAAAUGUUCUUUACAUGAUCCAGCACUUACCCAGUAGCUGAUGAAUUAGGUACAGAGCAUCACUUGUUGUGCUUUUUUUUUAAUUAUCCUACCAUAUCAUCUAUUUCCCAUUUAUUAUUAGAUACAGAAUUCCAACUGCAUUCGUUGCGCAUGAAAGCAUAAGUUGCAUGCAAGCAUGAAAUGUGUACUAUACAAUGUUAAUGCAAGCUUUGAAUGCUGAAUUUGUACCAUAGAGGACCCUGUUACAUAUAGUACUAUCUACCAUGGCCUGAAAAUUGCACUUGUAGUUCUGUAACUGGUAUACUAGAAUAGAAGAUAGAAGGGGCCCCAUUUAUCAUACUCUGAUUGAAAUGCAUUUAAAAAUAAACUACCCAACUCACCAGUUGGUCCAGCCGUCCAGUACCUGUGUUUCAAUGAGCAUGUGAAGAGCACCUCGACAGUUUGAGUCUGGCACUCUGGCUUGGAAUUGAAUUUGCAAGGGAAUCCGACGUGGUUCUCCAACUGAAUCAUAGCCUCGUUCUCACAGCAAAUAUUGCAUCAGCCCACCCCACCCCACCCAAAAAAAAACUGGGGCCCUGGGAGUAUGGAAGCAUCAGUGUAGUACAUUCAUAGAACUGGAACAGUGAAUCUCUGUUGCUUCCAUGGUUUGAGGACCUGAAUUUACACCAUCCAAUUUAUCUUCACAGUUAACUCCAUGGCGGUGCUGCAGAAUGGUGUAGUUUGAAGUUUGGUGGAGUGACUUCAUCGUCAGGUGGAGACUCCUCGGAUUGAGAUCAUGAGAUGAUAAAAAUAUUGCUGUUAAACUAGAUUACAUGAUGUAGCAUACAUGUGCUCGAUGUAUAACAUGAGCGAAGGUGCUGAAAGAACAGGGGGCUGGGUGUGGAAAAUUUGAGAUCCGGCAAUGGAAAGGUCCCUAGUAGAGAGGAGAGAUGAGCGAGUCCUUGCACAGUAGUAGUCAUCUGUAAAAGACUGCAUGUAACCUGGGAUUAUCAUCUGCAUGUAACAUGUUGAUUCCACUCGUCGACUA